Molecule: long non-coding RNA, 2062 nt
Organism: Numida meleagris (helmeted guineafowl)
Lineage: Eukaryota; Metazoa; Chordata; Aves; Galliformes; Numididae
Source: Ensembl
AUGGUUCUCUGUGGGUCGCUGUGGGUCGCUAUGGGGCACAGUGGGUCUCUAUGGUUCUCUAUGGGUCCCUAUUGGGUCUCUGUGGGUCUCUAUGGGUCUCUAUGGGAUCUCUAUGGGUCUCCAUGGGUCUCAGUGGGUCACUAUGGGUCUCUAUGGGUCCCUAUGGGUCUCUUUGGGAUCUCUGUGGGUCUCUAUGGGUCUCUAUGGGUCUCUAUGGGUCGCUAUGGGUCUCUAUGUGUCUCUAUGGUUCCCUAUGGGUCUCUAUGGGUCGCUAUGGGUCUCUAUGGGUUUGUAUGGGUCCCAAUGGGUCUCUACAGGUCUCUAUGGGUCUCAGUGGGUCUCUAUGGGUCGCUGUGGGUCGCUAUGGGUCUCUAUGGGGUCUCUGUGGUUCUCUAUGGGGCACUGUGGGAUUCUAUGGUUCUCUAUGGGUCUCUAUGGGUCUCUGUGGGUCCCUAUGGGUCCUUAUGGUUCCCUAUGGGUCUCUAUGGGUCUCUAUGGUGCACUAUGGGAUCUCUAUGGGUCGCUGUGGGUUGCCGUGGGUCUCUGUGGGGCCCUCUGAGUCUCUGUGGGUCACUAUGGGUCACAAUGGGUCUCUAUGAGGACCUAUGGGUCUCUAUGGGUCCCUAUGGGUCUCUAUGUGGUCUCUGUGGUUCUCUAUGGGGCACUAUGGGAUUCUAUGGGUCUCUAUGUGUCUCUAUGGGUUGCUGUGGGUCACUAUGGGGCACAGUGCGUCUCUGUGGGUCUCUGUGGGGUUUCUAUGAGUCUCUAUGGGUCUCUAUGGGUCGCUGUGGUUCUCUAUGGGGCACUAUGGGUCUCUAUGGGUUCUCCAUGGGUCCCUAUGGGUCUCUAUGGUUCCCUAUGGGUCGCUAUGGGUCUCUAUGGGUCUCUAUGGGAUCUCUAUGGGUCUCCAUGGGUCUCAGUGGGUCACUAUGGGUCGCUGUGGGUCUCUAUGGGUCCCUAUGGGUCUCUGUGGGUCUCCAUGGGUCUCUGUGGGUCACUAUGGGUCCCUAUGGGUCUCUUUGGGAUCUCUGUGGGUCUCUAUGGGUCUCUAUGGGUCUCUAUGGGUCGCUAUGGGUCUCUAUGGGUCGCUGUGGGUCUCAGUGGGUCUCAGUGGGUCGCUGUGGGUCUCUAUGGGUCACUGUGGGUCUCUAUAGUUCCCUAUGGGUCGCUAUGGGUCUCUGUGGUUCUCUAUGGGAUCUCUGUGGGUCUCUAUGGGUCUCCAUGGGUCUCUGUGGUUCUCUAUGGGGCACUAUGGGAUUCUAUGGUUCUCUAUGUGUCUCUAUGGGUCUCUAUGGGUCGCUAUGGGUCCCUAUGGUUCUCUAUGGGAUCUCUGUGGGUCUCUAUGGGUCCCUAUGGGUCUCUAUGGCUCCCUAUGGGUCGCUAUGGGUCUCUAUGGGUCUCUAUGGUUCUCUAUGGGUCUCUAUGGGUCGCUGUGGGUCGCAGUGGGUCGCUGUGGGUCGCUGUGGGUCGCUAUGGGUCGCUGUGGGUCGCUGUGGGUCGCUAUGGGUCGCAGUGGGUCGCUAUGGGUCUCUAUGGGUCGCUAUGGGUCCCUAUGGGUCUCUUUGGGAUCUCUGUGGGUCUCUAUGGGUCGCUAUGGGUCUCUAUGGUUCCCUAUGGGUCGCUAUGGGUUGCUAUGGGUCUCUGUGGUUCUCUAUGGGUCCCUAUGGUUCUCUAUGGGAUCUCUGUGGGUCUCUGUGGGUCACUAUGGGUCUCUGUGGGUCUCUAUGGGUCUCUAUGGAAUCUCUAUGGGUCACUAUGGAUCUCUAUGGCUCCCUAUGGGUCGCUAUGGGUCACUGUGGGUCUCUAUGGUUCCCUAUGGGUCGCUAUGGGUCCCUAUAGGUCUCUAUGGGUCUCUGUGGUUCUCUAUGGGGCACUAUGGGUUUCCGUGGGUCUCUAUGGGUCUCUAUGGUUCUCUAUGGGUCUCAGUGGGUCUCAGUGGGUCUCAGUGGGUCUCAGUGGGUCGCAGUGGGUCGCAGUGGGUCGUGGUGGGGCCCGGCGCUGACGCGGCGCUGACGCGGUUUCCUGCAGGUCGCCAUUGCGGCGCCGCCGCCAUCGCCCCACG